AAUCAACGCUGGCGGCGUGCCUCAGACAUGCAAGUCGAACGAUUAAAGCUCUCUUCGGAGAGUGUAUAGAGUGGCGCACGGGUGAGUAACACGUAAGUAAUCUGCCUUCGAGUGGGGAAUAACCCGGGGAAACCCGAGCUAAUACCGCAUAAUGCAGCGGCAUCGCAAGAUGACAGUUGUUAAAGGAAUUUAUUUCGCUUGAAGAGGAGCUUGCGGCAGAUUAGCUAGUUGGUAAGGUAAUGGCUUACCAAGGCUACGAUCUGUAACCGGUCUAAGAGGACGGUCGGUCACACUGACACUGAAUAACGGGUCAGACUCCUACGGGAGGCAGCAGUCGGGAAUUUUGGGCAAUGGGCGAAAGCCUGACCCAGCAACGCCGCGUGAAGGAUGAAGUAUUUCGGUAUGUAAACUUCGAAAGAAUAGGAAGAAUAAAUGACGGUACUAUUUAUAAGGUCCGGCUAACUACGUGCCAGCCGCCGCGGU
Molecule: ribosomal RNA, 483 nt
Filed under: uncultured bacterium
Lineage: Bacteria
Description: bacterial SSU rRNA
Rfam family: Bacterial small subunit ribosomal RNA
Source: RNAcentral